GACGGAGGAUGCAAGUGUUAUCCGGAAUCACUGGGCGUAAAGCGUCUGUAGGUGGUCAAAUAAGUCAACUGUUAAAUCUUGAGGCUUAACCUCAAAAUCGCAGUCGAAACUAUUAGACUAGAGUAUAGUAGGGGUAAAGGGAAUUUCCAGUGGAGCGGUGAAAUGCGUAGAGAUUGGAAAGACCACCAAUGGCGAAGGCGCUCUACUGGGCCAUUACUGACACUGAGAGACGAAAGCUAGGGGAGCAAAUGGG
RNAcentral lists this ribosomal RNA (253 nucleotides) under uncultured bacterium. RNAcentral's name for it is "partial 16S ribosomal RNA". It matches the Rfam family "Bacterial small subunit ribosomal RNA", at positions 524 to 776 of the family's 1533-position model. The record is from RNAcentral.